UUACUUUUAAAAAUAGGUUAUUAGAGAAAAAAAUCAUACAUUUAUUCUACUCACUCACAACCAUUUUUUUUACUCAACAUUUUUCCCAUCUUCUCAUUCUUCUCCCGUUUCUUAGUUUUCUCCUUCAGAUAUGUUUCAGUUCGAUUUGAAAUUUGAGAAUCAUUCAUGGAUUAACAACAUCAAUGAAUUGUUUUUCUCAUGCAUCUCACAAAAUCACUAACUUAACAAUUAAUCAUUUAUUCUGAAUCAAAUUAUAGGGUUAGGGUUUCUCUGCGUUUUGGAAAGAUGUUCAAGAAAAUCAUGAAAGGAGGGCACAUAAAGCCCUCCAAGUCAAACUCCAGCGAUCCACCUUUGUCAAAUAACAACCACAAUUGUCGUCAACCAUGCCUCACAUGGUGGAGUUGGAGGAACCAUUCCUACUAAUUACUCUGCCGCAAUGAUGCCCAUGACUCCACCUCCCGACACAAUGUAGAUGAUAUUGAGUUUACCCAAUGUGAAAGUGUAACCCUAAAAUUGUAACUUUAAAAGGCAUGAAACUUCUUCCACCACAACCGCUUCAUGGACUUUUCUUUUCAUUCCAUCAUAAUCGCUUUUUGACAUUUUCUUUCAUCUCCUUUUCUCUUCUUUCUUGUUUUUUCAUUUCUUCUCGUCGAGUGAGAUCAUGGCAAGAAAAGUCUUCUUUUUAUCCCUUCAAGGAUCAAUCGUAUCCUCACUGUUUAUGUAUCAUUAAGCUUUAUACGACCAAUUUUAGGGUUAAACCUCGAAGUUUUAAAGAAGUGGAUUAGGUAGCUUGCGGAAGACCGAUGAGGUAAGGAAGGACAAAUAACACGGAAAUCUAGUAGCUAUCUUUGAUGUAUUAUGUGAAGCCUCCAUAGACUCUUAAGUCUAUCUUUCUAAGGCGAGGAGCUCCAUGCCUCUGUCCAUGUUCUCUUAAAAGAGUAAAACCUAUCAAAUUUAAUCAUUGUGAUUCUUCUCAAAUAUGACAGAAAAAUGAACAUCUUUAUAAACAAAAGUAAAACAUCAAUUCACAUAUAUGCUUAGACAUGCAUAGUAAUAAAAACAUAUAUCCUAUUUAUUACACAUUUUGACUAAAUAUAGUUUUAAGAGAAUCAUAUAGUAUAGGAUUUUUAUUUUUUUUUUGAAGGGCAUAUAGUAUAGGAUUAUAUCAUGCAACAAUAUUGAAAAGUAAAUAAUUUUUCUCAUCAGGUAGCCUAGUGACUAGAAAUUCACUUUUAAAGUGAAUAAGUGGGGUGCCCAGAGUUCGAUAUAGAAAAUAAAACAAUAACCUAAAAAAUGAAAAUAAAAGCUUGGUACGUACUUACGGUUGUAAACAUUAUUAAUAUAGAAAGAGGUGAACUUAAUUAGUUCGACAAACACUUGAGCUCGUUAUCUUUCUCCAAUAUCGUACACACAACAGAAAGAAGAGGGGGGAUGUGCCGUAAAUAAUAAUAUAUGUAAAACCUAAGCAAACAAUUGAAGAAGAAGACCCACCCUUGAAGAGAAGAUCCAGAGUGGCGAUAAAAAAAGACCCCAACGCGGUGAUUCUGUCAAAGCUUGACCAAAAAGAAACUAAAGGAAAACAUAUAAACUAAAAACAUUAGAGAAUAAAUGUGAAGGAGGGAGAAGAAAAAUGACUCGCGGUGGCUGGAAAAUGGUUUACCGCAGAAGAGGGAAAAGAAAAUGACAAACAAAGUCGUGAAAGAAUAAAGUAUAAGAGGUUGCAAAUAGAGAAAUGUGAAAGAAAUUUUGGGGGAAUAUGAAAUAUGAAUUUCAAACUUGAGUCAGAGCUCAUCCCUUGCAAAAUUGGAAAGUAGAAACAUCUUUAUUCAUUAAAAUGGGUAUACUUUGUGAAGAAAUAUAUGGAAGAAGGACAAAAUAUUCUCCAUGUUUUUUUGUUGAAUGAAAUUUGUGUGUUGGGCUUUGUUAAUUUCCUUCAUAUGUGAGAU
Molecule: long non-coding RNA, 1946 nt
Filed under: Medicago truncatula (barrel medic)
Lineage: Eukaryota; Viridiplantae; Streptophyta; Magnoliopsida; Fabales; Fabaceae
Description: long non-coding RNA (MTRU_LNC000868)
Source: RNAcentral